RNAcentral lists this ribosomal RNA (495 nucleotides) under uncultured bacterium. RNAcentral's name for it is "partial 16S ribosomal RNA". It matches the Rfam family "Bacterial small subunit ribosomal RNA", at positions 28 to 507 of the family's 1533-position model. The record is from RNAcentral.
GACGGACGCUGGCGGCGUGCCUAAUACAUGCAAGUAGAACGCUGAAGGAGGAGCUUGCUUCUCUGGAUGAGUUGCGAACGGGUGAGUAACGCGUAGGUAACCUGCCUGGUAGCGGGGGAUAACUAUUGGAAACGAUAGCUAAUACCGCAUAAUAGCAGUUGUUGCAUGACAACUGUUUGAAAGGUGCAAUUGCACCACUACCAGAUGGACCUGCGUUGUAUUAGCUAGUUGGUGGGGUAACGGCUCACCAAGGCGACGAUACAUAGCCGACCUGAGAGGGUGAUCGGCCACACUGGGACUGAGACACGGCCCAGACUCCUACGGGAGGCAGCAGUAGGGAAUCUUCGGCAAUGGACGGAAGUCUGACCGAGCAACGCCGCGUGAGUGAAGAAGGUUUUCGGAUCGUAAAGCUCUGUUGUAAGAGAAGAACGAGUGUGAGAGUGGAAAGUUCACACUGUGACGGUAUCUUACCAGAAAGGGACGGCUAACUACGUG